Vigna angularis (adzuki bean) is the source of this 1567-nucleotide long non-coding RNA. RefSeq lists it as uncharacterized. NCBI's taxonomy places the organism in Eukaryota, Viridiplantae, Streptophyta, Magnoliopsida, Fabales, Fabaceae. The transcript has 2 exons. The record is from RefSeq and is a predicted model, not a curated record.
UAGGUUUUGAUAAAAGUGGAAGAGGAGAAAUAGCAGCGCCGCCAGUAACACCACCUUCUUCUCAAGAUCUAAAUUCGAAUCAUGCAAAGAUUGCCAAGACUACCACUCCGAGGAGCACCACCCGCGGGGCCGGAAGAAACUUCGAUUGAGGCUGCAAAACCUAAAGAGUGCCUAGGAGAAGCAGGUGGAAACCCACCUUAGAGAAGGAGCUCGACUCUUAUUCCCUUAUUAUAAGGAAGCCGUGACUGAGAAAGUACACGAACUGAGCCAGUGCAUAGUUUACGGAACGCCGUUAUCGCGAUUCCGCUGGAGGAGAGUGACUUCCGUUGAUGUUUGUUGACGAGAUCUACUAACAGAUUGAAUGGGGAGGUCAGUAGCGACGCAAUCGUGCUGGCGGAGUCGGUAACCUACACCACUGUGAUGAGUAACGUGUUGUUUGCGGGAUGGAGAGUGACUUAUGGAUUGCCUAAUGUCGAUGCUGAUGUAUUAAAGAACUAGACCGAAUCGUGUCUUUAGUGUUGGAAGACGAGAAAUUUGAAAUUGUUGACGCAAUCUGUCCGAGAACAGUUUGGUGUUCGAUCGCAUGUGCCCGAAUCGACGCAUGUGCCCGAGAGGAUCAUGAUAGCAUUAUUGCGGUCUCUGGUAAUGUGGUCUCUGGUAAUGUGGUCUCUGGUAAUGUGGUCUCUGGUAAUGUGGUCGCUACUAGUGUAGUUAGUUUUGGUGGUUGAAUGUAUUUUGAUUAUAAUUAAUUAAAUUAUUUAUUUUUCUUGAAAGCAAGAGUGUGAUAUUUUAUGUGGCUGUUGGUAAUGUGACUUUCUUUCUGUGCAUUUAUCUAGCCAUAUUAAGUAGUAGUUGGUGUUUCAUUGUUUUCACCUUUCCAUGAGUUCUUUAUCUGAUCAAGUUUUGGGAAAGAGAUUAUUUGCUUAUUUACUAUUUUUUUUUUUCAGAAAUGAUAGAAGCUGUAUAAGGGCUAAAGAAGGCAUCCACAAAGCUCAGUAAAGGUAUUCCUGAGGCAGAUAUCCGCUCGUUAGUGGAUUUUUCGAUGCAGAAAAAUAGUGAAGCCAUGUGCAUAACACUUCCUAACAUAAUUUGGUCUGUGUCUCAAAUAUUCAAAUGCCUAUGAUGAUUCAUUUAAUUUUUUAACAUAUCAUGGUAGGCAAUCCAUAAGUCUCUCCCCCGCAAACACGUUAGUCUUUACAGUGGCGUAGGUCCCCGACUCAGCCAGCACGAUUGCGCCGCUACCGACCUCUCUAUUUAAUCUGUCAUGGAUCUGGUCAACAAGCUUUAACGAAGGUCACUCCCCUCCAGCACAAUCGGGAUGACGACCUUUCGUGAACCACCGUACUGGCUCAGUUUGACAUGCACUUUCUCAGCCACAGCUUCCUUCUAAUAGCGGAACAAGGCGUCAGGUUUCCGCUUGCUUCUCCUCGACACUCUAAUAUAUGACACAAUGACACAUUUGUUUAUAAUUGUUUAUUUGAUUAAUAACAUGUCAUUUAUGUCAUACGUUAUUAUUACAAUGUUGUUACUAUCGAUUUGAUUAAAAAAAAACUAUAUUAACUUGUUA